Molecule: long non-coding RNA, 1474 nt
Filed under: Marmota monax (woodchuck)
Lineage: Eukaryota; Metazoa; Chordata; Mammalia; Rodentia; Sciuridae
Source: RNAcentral
AUCACUUGUAUGCAUUGUGAACUAUCUGUUGGUGCAGCAACUUGUGGUAGUGCCGGGGUAUUUGGGCUGAUGAUGUCAUCGGUGGUACAAUUAUUCCAAAAGGAGCCGUCAAUUGGCUUGGUGUCGUGGCAUUUUGUAUCCUUCUUCCUUCUGCUUGUGAUGGUCAUUCAGCUAAAAUUUGGGGGCCAACAGAGGUGGGGCAAAGAACCUCACCCCCCCCACUGGUACAAAGGCCUAUCCACAGGUGUGGCUGUACGCUGGACCAGUAGUCAAUGAUGGGUAAGAUCCAAUUGCAAUGGUACCAACCUAAGACAGGAGGCUGAUGCCUUGAGGUCAGCUCAUCCAAUGACGGGUAAGGACCAUAUGUAGUAUUGGACAACCUAAUACAGGCACAGUCCCUAAGCCACAUGCUUGUUGUUUAAUUAAACAGAGAAGGGGAGAUAUUGAGAGCCGCAGUGAAGCGGCCCCAGCAAACUUCCAGAUGAUUGGCUCCUCUGCGGUGAUGUUCAUUGGGCUGUUUCCCUGCCCUUUCAGACCACGGAGCUGCUCAUUGGGGGACUCUUUUGGCUCCACCCAUGCGACCCAGCCAAUUUGCCUCAAGAGCGGGGACCUAAGAGUUCUGGUUGAGGUGCUCGCCAGAAGAGCCGGUGGUGGCAGUUGGGCUCUCAGGAAAUUCCUGGAGAGCUCGUGUGGUGCAGCGUGCAUUCUAAAAAUAAAGUUCUUUCCUGCUUGACAAGUGGCUCGUGAAUUGUGCCCAGCCAGACUGCAGCAGAGAAUGAGGGUUGACAAUUGUAAGCUUAAUCAGGUGGUGACUCCAAUUUGCUGCUGUUGUAACAGGUGUGGUUUCUUUGAUUGAGUAGAUUAAUGCAUCUCCUGGUAUAUGGUAUGCAGCUAUUGAUUUGGCAAAUGCUUUUUUUCUUUGUUUCUGUACAUAAGGACCACCAGAAGCAAUUUGCUUUCAGCUGGCAAGGCCAGCAGAAUACCUUCACUGUCCUUCCUGAGGGGUAUGUCAGCUCUCCAGCACUGUGUCACAGCUUAGUUUGCAGAGAUCUGGAUCACCUUCCUCUUCCACAAUACAUUACAUUGGUGCAUUAUAUCAAUGACAUUAUGUUGAUUGGAAUAACUGAGCAAGAGGUAGCAACCACUUUGAAAUUGCUAGUGGAGCAUUUGUGUAUCAGAGGAUGGGAAAUAAAUCCCACUAAAAUUCAAGGGCCUUCAACUUCAGUAAAGUUUCCAGGAGUCCAGUGGCAUGGGGCCUGCUGAGAUAUCCCUUUUAAGGUAAAGGAUAAGUUGUUUCAUCUGGCCCCUCCUACAAAUAAGAAAGAAGCACAACACCUGGUGGACUUAUUUGGAUUUUGGGGGCAGCACAUUCCUCACAUGAGUGUGUUACUUCGGCCCAUCUACCAAAUUACUGGAAAGGCUUCUUGUUUUGAGUGGGGUCCAGAACAGGAAAAGGCUCAGCAACAGUUCCAGG